GGGGAUGUGGUCUAGUGGUAUGACAUCUGCUUUGCAUGCUGAAGGUCCUGGGUUCGAUUCCCAGCAUCUCCA
This 72-nucleotide transfer RNA is filed under the name Octopus vulgaris (common octopus). It matches the Rfam family "tRNA". From Rfam's summary of the family: Transfer RNA (tRNA) molecules are approximately 80 nucleotides in length. Their secondary structure includes four short double-helical elements and three loops (D, anti-codon, and T loops). Further hydrogen bonds mediate the characteristic L-shaped molecular structure. tRNAs have two regions of fundamental functional importance: the anti-codon, which is responsible for specific mRNA codon recognition, and the 3' end, to which the tRNAs corresponding amino acid is attached (by aminoacyl-tRNA synthetases). tRNAs cope with the degeneracy of the genetic code in two manners: having more than one tRNA (with a specific anti-codon) for a particular amino acid; and 'wobble' base-pairing, i.e. permitting non-standard base-pairing at the 3rd anti-codon position. RNAcentral also lists the same sequence under 1 other name. The record is from Rfam by way of RNAcentral. Lineage: Eukaryota; Metazoa; Mollusca; Cephalopoda; Octopoda; Octopodidae.